CUCCAGCUCCGAGUCCCUAAUAGGACGAAACGCGCGUCCUGGAC
RNAcentral lists this non-coding RNA (44 nucleotides) under Schistosoma mansoni. The record is from RNAcentral. Lineage: Eukaryota; Metazoa; Platyhelminthes; Trematoda; Strigeidida; Schistosomatidae.